RNAcentral lists this ribosomal RNA (442 nucleotides) under Staphylococcus aureus. RNAcentral describes it as "partial 23S ribosomal RNA". It matches the Rfam family "Bacterial large subunit ribosomal RNA", at positions 1028 to 1473 of the family's 2925-position model. The record is from RNAcentral. Lineage: Bacteria; Bacillati; Bacillota; Bacilli; Caryophanales; Staphylococcaceae.
CAGACCACCAGCUAAGGUCCCAAAAUAUAUGUUAAGUGGAAAAGGAUGUGGCGUUGCCCAGACAACUAGGAUGUUGGCUUAGAAGCAGCCAUCAUUUAAAGAGUGCGUAAUAGCUCACUAGUCGAGUGACACUGCGCCGAAAAUGUACCGGGGCUAAACAUAUUACCGAAGCUGUGGAUUGUCCUUUGGACAAUGGUAGGAGAGCGUUCUAAGGGCGUUGAAGCAUGAUCGUAAGGACAUGUGGAGCGCUUAGAAGUGAGAAUGCCGGUGUGAGUAGCGAAAGACGGGUGAGAAUCCCGUCCACCGAUUGACUAAGGUUUCCAGAGGAAGGCUCGUCCGCUCUGGGUUAGUCGGGUCCUAAGCUGAGGCCGACAGGCGUAGGCGAUGGAUAACAGGUUGAUAUUCCUGUACCACCUAUAAUCGUUUUAAUCGAUGGGGGGAC